AUUAGCAUUGAAGGGCAUUCAAAUGAAGCUAUGGUCGAAAGGUUUUCUUUGGCUGCGUGUUGAGCCGUCCCAGCCCUCUCUCCUUUCAAGCACAAGCUUUUAUGCUCUCUUCUGGGCAGCUCGUAGCUGGCUGCCUGGUUGUAUAACAGUUCAAAAGAGCUGUCUAGAGAGAACAAGUUUGCAUAGCUGUGGCCAACACACUCCCCCCCUUGCCGACCACGGCCUGAACCAACGGAAAGUCUGGUGGAAUUUGGACGCGUCAACAUCCUCCGCCUUGGGUAUUUUCUUGUUCUUGCUUCUACUGCCCGUGCCCGUGGGCUCGUCUCGCACUCUGCCGAGGGCCGGCCGUCCGCGCAACCCCCCUCUGCACCAACAAGUGAUUUGUUGUUGUGUGUGUUAGUGUAAGAAGGUACGUGCCAAGAAUCUUGCUCCAGCGCAACAACUGAGAGGCUCUCUUUGAUUGAGUUCACUCUCUCCCGCUCUCCACCCAGGCAAAAUGGCUUACGCUUAAGUUACCUGAACGCAGUGCUCAUGUUCAGCAAAAUGCUGCAACGCUAUUUUAGCAAUUCAAAGGAUCCUUUGAUAGCCCAUAAAAUAAGUAGCGACAGAUUGGAGUCCUUGGGCACAGCCCUUGGGCCAAACAUUUUUGAGCCCACAAGAGGAGCUUGGCCCGUGUAUGGAUGGUGGGGGAUAAUAAUUUUACUGACCACUCCCACACCAUGAAUGAUUUAAAAGACGAAAUGGACAGCAGUGGACAAGGAGUGCACAGAGGAAAGGUGAUACGAAAGACCGGAUACGAAAGUGGAGGAAUCAUACUAGUCUUUGGUCGGCAAAGGUUUGUAAACAAUGGAUAAACUUUUA
Molecule: long non-coding RNA, 861 nt
Organism: Drosophila persimilis
Lineage: Eukaryota; Metazoa; Arthropoda; Insecta; Diptera; Drosophilidae
Exons: 3
Source: RefSeq, a predicted model, not a curated record